This is a transfer RNA of Cavia porcellus (domestic guinea pig), 64 nucleotides long. It matches the Rfam family "tRNA". From Rfam's summary of the family: Transfer RNA (tRNA) molecules are approximately 80 nucleotides in length. The record is from Rfam. Lineage: Eukaryota; Metazoa; Chordata; Mammalia; Rodentia; Caviidae.
GGGGAUUUAGCUCAGCGGCAUAAGCACCUGCCUUGCAAGCAGGAGGUCAUGAGUUCGAUCCCCG